AGCAGCCGCGGUAAUUCCAGCUCCAAUAGCGUAUAUUAAAGUUGGUUGCAGUUAAAAAGCUCGUAGUUGAAUUUCGGGAUCAAUAUGUCGGUCGUGCCUUCGGUACGUACUGGUAUCAUUGGUCUCUCCUUUUUGACGAACCAUGAUGUCAUUAAUUUGGUGUUAUGGGGAGUUAGGACUGUUACUUUGAAAAAUUUAGAGUAGUUUAAAGCAGGCUUUAGCUUGAAUACAUUAGCAUGGAAUAAUGAAAUAGGACGUUCGAACCUAUUUUGUUGGUUUCUUAGGAUCAACGUAAUGAUUAAUAGGGAUAGUUGGGGGCAUUAGUAUUCAAUUGUCAGAGUGAAAUUCUUGGAUUUAUUGAAGACUAACUACUGCGAAAGCAUUUUGCCAAGGAUGUUUUCAUUAAUCAAGAACGAAAGUUUAGGGGAUAGAAGACGAUCAGAUACCGUCGUAGUCUUAACCAUAAACU
This 469-nucleotide ribosomal RNA is filed under the name uncultured Glomus. RNAcentral's name for it is "SSU rRNA". It matches the Rfam family "Eukaryotic small subunit ribosomal RNA", at positions 569 to 1038 of the family's 1831-position model. The record is from RNAcentral. Lineage: Eukaryota; Fungi; Glomeromycota; Glomeromycetes; Glomerales; Glomeraceae.